Molecule: ribosomal RNA, 610 nt
Filed under: uncultured bacterium
Lineage: Bacteria
Description: bacterial SSU rRNA
Rfam family: Bacterial small subunit ribosomal RNA
Source: RNAcentral
CUGCGGCCUAUCAGGUAGUUGGUGGGGUAAAGGCCUACCAAGCCUGCGACGGGUAGCCGGACUGAGAGGUCGACCGGCCACACUGGAACUGAGACACGGUCCAGACUCCUACGGGAGGCAGCAGUGGGGAAUAUUGCACAAUGGGGGAAACCCUGAUGCAGCGACGCCGCGUGGAGGAUGACGGCCUUCGGGUUGUAAACUCCUUUUGUCAGGGACAAUGGUGAUGGUACCUGACGAAUAAGCCACGGCUAACUCUGUGCCAGCAGCCGCGGUAAGACAGAGGUGGCGAGCGUUGUUCGGAAUUACUGGGCUUAAAGGGCGCGUAGGCGGUGGUGUAAGUCUGGGGUGGAAUGCUACAGCUCAACUGUAGAGCUGCCUUGGAAACUGCAUUACUUGAGUCGGUGAGGGGAAGGCGGAAUUCCUGGUGUAGCGGUGAAAUGCGUAGAUAUCAGGAGGAAGGUCUGUGGCGAAGGCGGCCUUCUGGCACUUGACUGACGCUGAGGCGCGAAAGCGUGGGGAGCAAACAGGAUUAGAUACCCUGGUAGUCCACGCCCUAAACGGUGGGUAUUAGGUGUGGGGCCUUCAUGGGUUCCGUGCCGUAGCGAAAGCA